AGAGUUUGAUCAUGGCUCAGAUUGAACGCUGGCGGCAGGCCUAACACAUGCAAGUCGAACGGUAACAGGAAGCAGCUUGCUGCUUUGCUGACGAGUGGCGGACGGGUGAGUAAUGUCUGGGAAACUGCCUGAUGGAGGGGGAUAACUACUGGAAACGGUGGCUAAUACCGCAUAACGUCGCAAGACCAAAGAGGGGGACCUUCGGGCCUCUUGCCAUCAGAUGUGCCCAGAUGGGAUUAGCUAGUUGGUGAGGUAACGGCUCACCAAGGCGACGAUCCCUAGCUGGUCUGAGAGGAUGACCAGCCACACUGGAACUGAGACACGGUCCAGACUCCUACGGGAGGCAGCAGUGGGGAAUAUUGCACAAUGGGCGCAAGCCUGAUGCAGCCAUGCCGCGUGUAUGAAGAAGGCCUUCGGGUUGUAAAGUACUUUCAGCGGGGAGGAAGGUGUUGUGGUUAAUAACCGCAGCAAUUGACGUUACCCGCAGAAGAAGCACCGGCUAACUCCGUGCCAGCAGCCGCGGUAAUACGGAGGGUGCAAGCGUUAAUCGGAAUUACUGGGCGUAAAGCGCACGCAGGCGGUCUGUCAAGUCGGAUGUGAAAUCCCCGGGCUCAACCUGGGAACUGCAUUCGAAACUGGCAGGCUUGAGUCUUGUAGAGGGGGGUAGAAUUCCAGGUGUAGCGGUGAAAUGCGUAGAGAUCUGGAGGAAUACCGGUGGCGAAGGCGGCCCCCUGGACAAAGACUGACGCUCAGGUGCGAAAGCGUGGGGAGCAAACAGGAUUAGAUACCCUGGUAGUCCACGCCGUAAACGAUGUCUACUUGGAGGUUGUGCCCUUGAGGCGUGGCUUCCGGAGCUAACGCGUUAAGUAGACCGCCUGGGGAGUACGGCCGCAAGGUUAAAACUCAAAUGAAUUGACGGGGGCCCGCACAAGCGGUGGAGCAUGUGGUUUAAUUCGAUGCAACGCGAAGAACCUUACCUGGUCUUGACAUCCACAGAAGAAUCCAGAGAUGGAUUUGUGCCUUCGGGAACUGUGAGACAGGUGCUGCAUGGCUGUCGUCAGCUCGUGUUGUGAAAUGUUGGGUUAAGUCCCGCAACGAGCGCAACCCUUAUCCUUUGUUGCCAGCGGUUAGGCCGGGAACUCAAAGGAGACUGCCAGUGAUAAACUGGAGGAAGGUGGGGAUGACGUCAAGUCAUCAUGGCCCUUACGACCAGGGCUACACACGUGCUACAAUGGCGCAUACAAAGAGAAGCGACCUCGCGAGAGCAAGCGGACCUCAUAAAGUGCGUCGUAGUCCGGAUUGGAGUCUGCAACUCGACUCCAUGAAGUCGGAAUCGCUAGUAAUCGUGGAUCAGAAUGCCACGGUGAAUACGUUCCCGGGCCUUGUACACACCGCCCGUCACACCAUGGGAGUGGGUUGCAAAAGAAGUAGGUAGCUUAACCUUCGGGAGGGCGCUUACCACUUUGUGAUUCAUGACUGGGGUGAAGUCGUAACAAGGUAACCGUAGGGGAACCUGCGGUUG
Molecule: ribosomal RNA, 1522 nt
Filed under: Salmonella enterica subsp. enterica serovar Infantis
Lineage: Bacteria; Pseudomonadati; Pseudomonadota; Gammaproteobacteria; Enterobacterales; Enterobacteriaceae
Also listed under: 2 other names
Description: bacterial SSU rRNA
Rfam family: Bacterial small subunit ribosomal RNA
Source: RNAcentral